RNAcentral lists this ribosomal RNA (253 nucleotides) under uncultured bacterium. RNAcentral's name for it is "partial 16S ribosomal RNA". It matches the Rfam family "Bacterial small subunit ribosomal RNA", at positions 524 to 776 of the family's 1533-position model. The record is from RNAcentral.
UACGAAGGGGGCUAGCGUUGCUCGGAAUUACUGGGCGUAAAGCGCACGUAGGCGGCUUUCUAAGUCGGGGGUGAAAUCCUGGAGCUCAACUCCAGAACUGCCUUCGAUACUGGAGAGCUCGAGUCCGGGAGAGGUGAGUGGAACUGCGAGUGUAGAGGUGAAAUUCGUAGAUAUUCGCAAGAACACCAGUGGCGAAGGCGGCUCACUGGACCGGCAUUGACGCUGAGGUGCGAAAGCGUGGGGAGCAAACAGG